Molecule: ribosomal RNA, 422 nt
Filed under: uncultured bacterium
Lineage: Bacteria
Description: bacterial SSU rRNA
Rfam family: Bacterial small subunit ribosomal RNA
Source: RNAcentral
AAUUGUUCGCAAUGGGCGCAAGCCUGACGACGCAACGCCGCGUGGAGGAUGAAGAUCUUCGGGUCAUAAACUCCUUUCGAUCGAGACGAAUUCCUCCGGGGUGAACAAUCCCGGAGGUUGACGGUACCGAGAGAAGAAGCCCCGGCUAACUCCGUGCCAGCAGCCGCGGUAAUACGUAGGGUGCAAGCGUUAUCCGGAAUUAUUGGGCGUAAAGAGCUCGUAGGCGGUUUGUCGCGUCUGCUGUGAAAACCCGAGGCUCAACCUCGGGCCUGCAGUGGGUACGGGCAGACUAGAGUGCGGUAGGGGAGAUUGGAAUUCCUGGUGUAGCGGUGGAAUGCGCAGAUAUCAGGAGGAACACCGAUGGCGAAGGCAGAUCUCUGGGCCGUAACUGACGCUGAGGAGCGAAAGCGUGGGGAGCGAAC